Molecule: long non-coding RNA, 657 nt
Organism: Bos taurus (domestic cattle)
Lineage: Eukaryota; Metazoa; Chordata; Mammalia; Artiodactyla; Bovidae
Source: Ensembl
UUGAGACCAGGGCUCGGAGCCCACCCUGGCCCUCACUAGCACGUGGUCCUCGGAAGAUGCCCAAGGCCCACGGCCUCAGUUCUUCAUCUGGGAGGCGAGCAGUUUGCCAGGGUAGAUUUUGGGAACAGAGACAGCAGCCUACACUUCACCACCAUCUUGAGAGCUACAGAUCAAACUCCAUCCAGUGACUGCUCGACAUCAUGGCCCCAAACCCAGGAAAGCAUGAAGUCUUGAUGAGGAGCUGAAAACACCAGCUGAGCAUCCUCACUGUGUAUUAUGGACUCUCUAACCUGUGGUCAUGUGCACCAUUCAUUUGCAUCGGAAUUUUGGUCUUAGGCCUAUUUUUGUGCUUAGGUAUCUAUCACCUUACUGUCUUGACCUCUCUGUUGCUAGAAGGGUGGAUUUGCUAACCAAACACAGUCUCAGGUCCUUUUGACUUAAGCAAAAGUGAACAGAAUUAUAACUGCUCGUUUCAUACACUCCCUUUUGGAUAAUAGUGACAGGAAGGCUAGGCCUGGAACUUGCACUGUGCAACACUUGUUUCCUGUGUGCUGACAUCUGACACACACACUAUAAGGGAAGGGCCAGAACGUUUAUCCCGUUAGAAGAGGCAGGUCUCUGUGUCUUGAGUGUGCCAGAGGGUAUUUCAGGAAAGGA